GACGAACGCUGGCGGCGUGCCUAAUACAUGCAAGUCGAACGCAAAACUUUCACCGAAUGCUUGCAUUCACGAAAGUUUUGAGUGGCGAACGGGUGAGUAACACGUGGGUAACCUGCCCAGAAGAGGGGGAUAACACUUGGAAACAGGUGCUAAUACCGCAUAAUAACAAAAACCGCAUGGUUUUUGUUUGAAAGAUGGUUUUGCUAUCACUUCUGGAUGGACCCGCGGCGUAUUAGCUAGUUGGUAAGGUAAAGGCUUACCAAGGCAAUGAUACGUAGCCGAACUGAGAGGUUGAUCGGCCACAUUGGGACUGGGACACGGCCCAAACUCCUACGGGAGGCAGCAGUAGGGAAUCUUCCACAAUGGACGAAAGUCUGAUGGAGCAACGCCGCGUGAGUGAAGAAGGUUUUCGGAUCGUAAAACUCUGUUGUUAAAGAAGAACGUAUCUAAGAGUAACUGCUUAGGUAGUGACGGUAUUUAACCAGAAAGCCACGGCUAACUACGUGCCAGCCGCCGCAGUAA
RNAcentral lists this ribosomal RNA (522 nucleotides) under uncultured bacterium. RNAcentral describes it as "partial 16S ribosomal RNA". It matches the Rfam family "Bacterial small subunit ribosomal RNA", at positions 28 to 523 of the family's 1533-position model. The record is from RNAcentral.